CGGCCCAGACUCCUACGGGAGGCAGCAGUGGGGAUAUUGCACAAUGGAGGAAACUCUGAUGCAGCGAUGCCGCGUGGAGGAAGAAGGUCUUCGGAUUGUAAACUCCUGUUAUCGGGGACGAAGAUGACGGUACCCGACGAGGAAGCUCCGGCUAACUACGUGCCAGCAGCCGCGGUAAUACGUAGGGAGCGAGCGUUGUCCGGAAUUACUGGGUGUAAAGGGAGCGUAGGCGGGGUAGCAAGUCAGGUGUGAAAACUAUGGGCUCAACCCAUAGACUGCACUUGAAACUGUUAUUCUUGAGUGAAGUAGAGGUAAGCGGAAUUCCUAGUGUAGCGGUGAAAUGCGUAGAUAUUAGGAGGAACAUCAGUGGCGAAGGCGGCUUACUGGGCUUUUACUGACGCUGAGGCUCGAAAGCGUGGGGAGCAAACAGGAUUAGAUACCCUGGUAGUCCACGCUGUAAACGAUGAUUACUAGGUGUGGGGGGACUGACCCCUU
RNAcentral lists this ribosomal RNA (495 nucleotides) under uncultured bacterium. Its description in RNAcentral is "bacterial SSU rRNA". It matches the Rfam family "Bacterial small subunit ribosomal RNA", at positions 327 to 841 of the family's 1533-position model. The record is from RNAcentral.